GUUCCUACGGGGGGCAGCAGUGAGGAAUAUUGGUCAAUGGCCGCAGGGCUGAACCAGCCAAGUCGCGUGAGGGAUGACGGUCCUAUGGAUUGUAAACCUCUUUUGUCAGGGAGCAAAGGGCGCCACGUGUGGCGUUUUGCGAGUACCUGAAGAAAAAGCAUCGGCUAACUCCGUGCCAGCAGCCGCGGUAAUACGGAGGAUGCGAGCGUUAUCCGGAUUUAUUGGGUUUAAAGGGUGCGUAGGCGGAAGGUUAAGUCAGCGGUCAAAUGUCGGUGCUCAACACCGGCCUGCCGUUGAAACUGGUC
This 305-nucleotide ribosomal RNA is filed under the name uncultured bacterium. Its description in RNAcentral is "bacterial SSU rRNA". It matches the Rfam family "Bacterial small subunit ribosomal RNA", at positions 335 to 638 of the family's 1533-position model. The record is from RNAcentral.